UACGUAGGGAGCAAGCGUUAUCCGGAUUUAUUGGGUGUAAAGGGUGCGUAGAUGGAUAAACAAGUUGUUUGUGAAAUACCUCGGCUCAACUGAGGAACUGCAAGCAAAACUGUAUAUCUUGAGUACUGGAGGGGAAAGCGGAAUUCCUAGUGUAGCGGUGAAAUGCGUAGAUAUAUGGAAGAACACCAGUGGCGAAGGCGGCCGCCUGGCCUGUUGCUGACGCUGAGGCACGAAAGCGUGGGGAGCAAAUAGG
Molecule: ribosomal RNA, 253 nt
Filed under: uncultured Eubacteriales bacterium
Lineage: Bacteria; Bacillati; Bacillota; Clostridia; Eubacteriales
Description: uncultured Clostridiales bacterium partial 16S ribosomal RNA
Rfam family: Bacterial small subunit ribosomal RNA
Source: RNAcentral